This 253-nucleotide ribosomal RNA is filed under the name uncultured bacterium. Its description in RNAcentral is "partial 16S ribosomal RNA". It matches the Rfam family "Bacterial small subunit ribosomal RNA", at positions 524 to 776 of the family's 1533-position model. The record is from RNAcentral.
UACGGAGGGUGCGAGCGUUGUUCGGAAUCACUGGGCGUAAAGCGCGUGUAGGCGGCUCCCUAAGUCUGUUGUGAAAGCCCGGGGCUUACCCCCGGAAGGGCAGUGGAAACUGGGGAGCUGGAGUACCGGAGAGGAGGGUGGAAUUCCUGGUGUAGCGGUGAAAUGCGUAGAUAUCAGGAGGAACACCGGUGGCGAAGGCGGCCCUCUGGACGGAUACUGACGCUGAGACGCGAAAGCGUGGGGAGCAAACAGG